UCCACGCGCUUUCCGUUCAGUUAUUUUCAUGAAAAUUUAUGUAUGACUUCCUAGAACACAAAAUGAAUAACUUCUCAACGAAUGUACCAUUGUUAGAUAUCAAAGAUUUAUCAUUUCUUACAUUCAAAAGAAACUUUUAAAGGAAUAUUAGAAUUUCAGAUACCCCGUCUGCGGCUACAGUCCAUCCGGAUCAUUAUACGCCAUCAUUUAACUGUCUGUUAAAUCCGUAUUUUCUCUGAUGGCUGGAUGAGAGUUGAAAAUAGACAACAAGUCUAAUGAAGAGGUUACUGAAACUCAGCAAGAAUGGAUCAACAUGCAAUCAAAUGACUUUUAUUAUUUUUCUGGAACUGGGAAACUUCCUGGCUGCAGGAAAAGUACUGCAGUGGCAAAUGACUUUGUAGAAAUAUAAUAUGUAUAUUCAGUUUAUUCAAUGAAUAAAGUUUAGCUGAUAUAUUCCUA
Stegodyphus dumicola is the source of this 459-nucleotide long non-coding RNA. RefSeq lists it as uncharacterized. The record is from RefSeq and is a predicted model, not a curated record. NCBI's taxonomy places the organism in Eukaryota, Metazoa, Arthropoda, Arachnida, Araneae, Eresidae.